ACAUUUACUAGCGCCAGGGGACUACGAGCCUCAGCUUAAAACCCAAAGGACUUGACGGUGACCCACCCGACUAGAGGAGCCUGUUCUACAACCGAUGAUCCCCGUUACACCCAACCCCCCCUUGCUUUAUCAGCCUGUAUACCUCCGUCGUAAACUCACCAUAUGAAUGCCUUCCAAGUGGGUUCAAUGUUUUAUUACACCAGUACGUCAGGUCAAGGUGCAGCCCAUGGUGAGGUAAGCAAUGGGCUACAAUUUCUAUAUUAGAACAAACGAAAUACUGCAUGAAAUACAGUCAUGAAGGAGGAUCUAGUAGUAAGGAGAAAAUAGCGAGUUCUUUUUAAUGCGGCCCUGGGACA
Molecule: ribosomal RNA, 356 nt
Filed under: Nannophrys ceylonensis (Ceylon streamlined frog)
Lineage: Eukaryota; Metazoa; Chordata; Amphibia; Anura; Dicroglossidae
Description: partial 12S ribosomal RNA
Rfam family: Bacterial small subunit ribosomal RNA
Source: RNAcentral